RNAcentral lists this long non-coding RNA (229 nucleotides) under Capsicum annuum. Its description in RNAcentral is "long non-coding RNA (CANN_LNC006317)". Lineage: Eukaryota; Viridiplantae; Streptophyta; Magnoliopsida; Solanales; Solanaceae. The record is from RNAcentral.
UCCCAAUAAGUUGUAUAAACACUAAUAUUAAAAAUGUUAGUAACAAAUAAAUAAUAAUCAAAAUAAAUUAAAAAAUAUGUGUGCGUAUGCGUAUUUAAAAAUAUAAUUUUUGUUAAAAUGUCGGCUCAGAUAAAGUUUUAAAAUAUUAUAAAGAGUUCGUCAUUGCACAAAAAUAUUUAAUUUUUGUUAUGUAUUUGUAUACGUAAUGUCCGUCUUUUAUUCGGGAAGG